This 387-nucleotide long non-coding RNA is filed under the name Lathyrus oleraceus (garden pea). RNAcentral describes it as "Pisum sativum (pea) long non-coding RNA (PSAT_LNC023154)". The record is from RNAcentral. Lineage: Eukaryota; Viridiplantae; Streptophyta; Magnoliopsida; Fabales; Fabaceae.
CACUCUCUCUCUCUCUUCAAAUCAAAACCAAACGAAAGGGCUCUAUACAAAGCGCCUCCCUCUGCAAACCCUAAAGCUCCUCUCUCUUGGAGAAGACGACCGGAGACGGCGGCUCACGGCGGAGCCUCCGCUCUUCUUCGUCGCUUCAUUUUCUCCCUCUCCUAACUCUGUUUCAUGAACCAACCCUCUUUCUCCUUCUCAUAAUUUCGAGACACAUAACAUAAAAUCAUGCGAAAACAAACUCAACCGAAAUAUCUACAAAAAGGGAAACUCAUGGAAGAAGAUAGGUGUGAAUCGUUUACCAAAUCGGAAGCUCUGAAAAUCUCCGGCUUCGGUGAGAUCCUCCGGAUGCCGGCAACGAUUCUCUUCGGCGAGCGAUGCUUCAGU